This 301-nucleotide ribosomal RNA is filed under the name uncultured bacterium. RNAcentral's name for it is "partial 16S ribosomal RNA". It matches the Rfam family "Bacterial small subunit ribosomal RNA", at positions 510 to 808 of the family's 1533-position model. The record is from RNAcentral.
CAUAGCCACGGUAAUACAGAGGAUGCAAGCGUUAUCCGGAAUGAUUGGGCGUAAAGCGUCUGUAGAUGGCUUUUCAAGUCCGCCGUCAAAUCCCAGGGCUCAACCCUGGACAGGCGGUGGAAACUACCAAGCUGGAGUACGGUAGGGGCAGAGGGAAUUUCCGGUGGAGCGGUGAAAUGCGUAGAUAUUAGGAAGAACACCAGUGGCGAAGGCGACUUUCUGGACGAAAACUGACGCUGAGGCGCGAAAGCCAGGGGAGCGAACGGGAUUAGAUACCCCGGUAGUCCCUGUCUCUUAUACC